GAUGAUGAGGGUGGGAUGGAAGGCUUUGAGACAUACCUGAUCCUUAAACUGAAUCUUGAAAGAUGAGUAGGAGUCAGCCUGAUAGUUGAGGAGGGACAGAGGGAUACCCUCUGAUUCUGUGUACCUUAACUUCAGAAUGUGGCUUUCCCCAGCUGUUGGACUUGUCUUCCACUUCACCUUGGGCCCUCAGUACCUGAUGAGUUACAAUAGCUACCUACCACUUAUUCAACACCUAUUACAUGUCAGACUCGAGGAUAGUAACAGGGGCUUCAUAUGUAUUUUCUCAGUUAAUCCUCCCAGCAACCCUUAUUAAGAUCAGGAAGCUGCAACUCAGAGAAGCCAAGCAACUCUCCUCUAAGAUUACACAGACAAUAAACGACAUGGCUAGGAUUUCAA
This is a long non-coding RNA of Callorhinus ursinus (northern fur seal), 396 nucleotides long. RefSeq lists it as uncharacterized. The record is from RefSeq and is a predicted model, not a curated record. Lineage: Eukaryota; Metazoa; Chordata; Mammalia; Carnivora; Otariidae.